This 2156-nucleotide long non-coding RNA is filed under the name Theobroma cacao (cacao). RNAcentral describes it as "long non-coding RNA (TCAC_LNC005882)". Lineage: Eukaryota; Viridiplantae; Streptophyta; Magnoliopsida; Malvales; Malvaceae. The record is from RNAcentral.
AAUCAUCCAUUUAACAUAAGAUUUUGGCUAAUCAAACUAAAUAAAAAUAUUAAAUAAAAUAUUUCAUUUUCUUCUAAAACAAUAUUUAUAGAACUUUGCGUAAAUAAUUUUUGCAGCGUAAAAGCAAAAUAAAUUCAUACAUACAGUGGCACACACAGCCAGGUAUACAAAAUAUUCUACAAUGACAUGUGGACCCCAAAAUAACCGAAAACAUACAAGAUUGUAGAAUUUCAAUUUCUAAGGAUGCAAAUCCAAAAGCAACCCUUGACAAAAUCGACUGUCUACAGACUAUCCUGAGCCUGAAAUAGGUAAAAAAGAAGGGGUGAGUUUUUAUAAACCCAGUGAGUAAGCAAAUUUCAUCUAUAAUAUCUAAAAUCGAGUAAAUGGAGAUAAUUUAAAACAUCUCAGUAUAAUAUGAUUCAUAACAUCAAAUCUCAUUUCAACCCAUAUAAAUCAAUUACAUUUCAUCAAAAAUAAUCAAUAAGGCUUAUGAUUCUCUUAAAAAUUUAGCUUGUGCCAAAACUCAUACUCGGUGACAUCUUGGCCAAAGCAUCCAACCGAGUCCGCCAAGGCUGUUAAAAUAACAUAUGCACAUAAAACAAGUUUUUUACAUUUAAAACAUAGCCGUUCCUUGGCGUUGGCUAAGUUUCACCUUGACGUGGUGGUUCAGCGUGAAGUGAACUCUAACGUUACCUUAGGAGAUACCCUCUACGCCUCUCGUACCAAGAUAAAAUAUAACCGGAUUUACCGUGCCCCUCUAAUAGGCUGGUACACGGAAACCUGCCCACUACAGUAAGCUAAUCAAAUAACCCACCAAUUCAAUAAAAUUUUCGACAGCAUGACAUGGCUAAUAUAAUAUUACCAACCUAUCAAGGCAAAGCAAAACAGUUCAUAUAUUCCACACAAACACAAAUCUAGCCAUACUUGCCAUCACAUUGUCAUAAGCCAUCAAUUCAAACCAUAUGUCAAAACAUUUAUAUAACACAAGUAUAUAGUUUCCACUUACUGAAUUUCCAAAACCAGUAUUCAAUUUCAAAACAAGUUAUAAAUCACAUUUCGUUUAAUCAACAUUUCAAUUAUAAAACAUAAUAGUUUGUAAUUUAAAUUCAUUUUUCUUUAAAACAUAAAAACGAGAAUCAACUACUUUAGAUAAUUAAGAUAAAAGUCUGAUUACUCACAAUAACGGGAGUAUGGAGUACUCUUAUUCUUGAUCCUUGGGUACGAUAUCCUUACCCUUACCAGAGGACUCACCACUUAUACAUAAUACACGACAUGUAAUCCAAUAUAUUUAUACCAAACUGUUAUAAAACUAUUUCAGGCUCUUUAUGAAUGCAUGGAAUUGAAUGAGAAAUGUUCGGAUAGUCACUUAAAGACGGUGUUCUACGUAGGUUCAAUUGUGAUCGGAAUGAAUUUGUAUUCGACCUAAUUCGAACUAUACACCAUUGAUUUAACCAAAACAUUUGAUUCAACUUAAAAUAUUUUCAUUACACUCCCAAUAAUCUAAUAUACCAAAGCAUUACAAUGAACUUGAUUUUUGACUAACUUCACUAUUUUCCAAAAUUCAUUUCUAUUCCGAACUAACAUACUAAUGAAUGUCUACACAGUCUCAUAAAUCUAUAUAUAUAAUUAGGAAUCAAACCCAAAUCCAUUUACUAUGAUUUUCUCAGUUUCCAUGAAGCCAUUUUCUAAAGGAACUAUACUUUUCAAUAAUCGGUUUUGAUAUCCAACAUCAUAAUUCAUCAAUUCCUAACUAAAUAACAUGAAUUACAACCAAAUCCAUCAUUAACAUGCCAUAUAGAAAAUUCGGCCAAAUGAGGGUGGUUGAGGAACAUGUGAUUUUCUUGCUUAUUUUUCCUUCUAAACAUCACAAAAUGACUAAAAACACUAGGAUAUUAUGAAAUCUAGCACAAUUCAUCACCAAAACUUCUUUUUCUAGGUUUGGCCAGCAAAGGUUGCCUCUUGAAAACUUGAAUUUCAGCCAUGGAGAAUGAAAAAGAAUGCAUGGGAAUGGUAGAUCACAAGCUAAAAUUAAAAAAUCUUACCUUUACUUGCUUGAUUCCUUGAAAUCCAACAAUUUCUCUUGAAUUUUUCCUUCCUAGGGUUUGUUUUUCUCUUUUUCUCUUUGUUCCCUUGCUUGGCUGGCCAUAAGAGUGAAA